GCAAAGCAAGGAUGAAGAGACUGGACAUGGUCCAGAGUUGGACAGGACAUUUACCCAUAUGACUGGGGGACUGAAGAGGAACAGAGAAUAAGAGGCGACUGGGGAUGAAGGGGACAGUGGAGGCUGCGUGACCUGAGCUGACACCGGGGUGAUGCGCAGGAGCUGGACGGUACAACCGGUGGUGAGUCACCAUGUAGGCAGAGGAUGUGGUGCAUGGCUCGGAGGAGCGGGGAAGACCCAGCGCCACGGCUGCAGCUCACCCCUCCACUUUGGAGAGGAGCGAGCAGCAGCGGGGGGAGACGGCCGAGGGCACGGCUUGGCCAGGCUUCACGGGACCUGGGCACGAGGAGCAGGUGCCCAUCCUCAUGAGCAACUGCCACUGGGGAUGGAGACAGGCAGAGGUCGGGCAGCUCCUCCGGUGAGUACUCCAGCAGGGCAGCAGACAGGCACCGGUGACUGCGCUUUAUUUCAUACGGGAAAUUGUUGGUUUGGGUACCAUCUUUCUGAUUAAAACCAGUGGUUGGGACGGCGGUUUUCCACACCAAGGGGAAUUUUCUAUAGGCCACCUUUGAGACUUUUUAUCUCUAUUUUUUUUAUAAUGUUAAACUCUAACUGUGUAGCCUAACCUACAGCUGACUGUGCAGAGUAAAAGGAAGGGAAACCAGCCAGGUGGAAAACAAAAUGACAGAGCACAUGAUGGACCUGCAUAUCAAAGCACAUCCCAAUCAUAAGGAUACCCCAAAGUCUGGUUUGGUUCCUGACAAAACAUGAGCUCGGCGAUGGAGACAUUGUUAGCUGGCUGAUCAAGGGGACAUUCAGUGGAAACUAUUACCGUGGCAUCGCAGGAAGGAGCCGGGCAGCCUCCGUCUGCCUGCUGAGCUCAUCCCGAUCCCCGUGCCUCGAGGAGGAGAAGAGGGAGCCGAGGACGGGAGCAGGCGCUCGCGUGAUCAAAGCAAUGGGGAUGGCAGUCGAGGGAGGAAGGGGAUGAUGCUUUGCUUUUGGCGCUGGCCGUGAUUUGCUGUAUGUAUUUAGUGCCUCUGUGCUUGGGUUUGUGACACAGGUAAAAUGGAAAUCCCCAGGAGCGAGGAGGUCUGUUGUGGGGGCUGCCGUCCCUUGGUGUGUUUGAGAGAUUCUAACAGAAAGUGUUUUUGAUGAGAUUUCUCUAUGAGAAGAAAAAUUUAAUGUAAGAAGAUGGAAGAUUAUCCAAACAUUUAAAGUACAGAAUGGCAAUAAGUAGCUCUUAUUUUGCACUCUUCCCCGUGCCCACGUGUCCCUGGAGAACACCUAUUUUUGGCUACGCUUUUUUGCAGUUAUACAGUAUAAGGAGAGCUUUCUUCCGUAAGUGUUCACCUAAGAAGGAAGCAAGAAAGUUAUAGAACCAAUGACACUAGAUGAUUAAUGAACCAAACCAUCUCUCUUCCCCCAACCACAGCACCGCACAAUGGGUUUUCACUUUCUCCCAAUGGCCUUGAAAACAUCCUCAUCCUGAGGAGCAGACUGUUUCGAGCUGAUGUUUCUGUACCUCGUUCUGCAGAAACGGACUGGAGCGCUCAGAAGGGAAGGCACUUCUGUACAAUUUCGGAUAUACCUCUCUUGAUAGGGGGGUAAGAAGCAUUGAAACACUGUGAUCUCUUACACUAGAACAUAGGAAGUGUCUCUUGGAAGGACAGUGACAUGAAAAAUAAUCUCAUGACUCUUACAAGGACUAGCUGUGUAGCCUUCAACUUAGUAAAUUAGAAAUAACAUCAGAGCCAUGCGUUGCUGUACACCCAGCCAGAACCGGUGUAAGCACUGAAAUAAGAGCUGCCAGAUGUGAAAAAUGGCCAGAAAUUAUCAGAUGUGGACAAUAGCUCUAGGGCCCCUGUUGUUUGAAGUCCAACUUGAUAAACUUUGUGCUAAUUUGCUGAGUACCUUCAGACCCACUGGUAGUCAAAGGGAAGGUCCUGCAGCUAAGCCUGGCCGAAGAAAGAAGCCUUGAAAUCUCUCACAUUGGUCGAGUGGAAAGGAAGGCUCCCAAAGUCACAGGUGACGUCCAAAGAGUGGUCACAUUGGCUGAAGUGAGAGGCCUUUCUGCCCGCCUUGGAUGUACCUACACAGGUUGUAGGCUAAAGGCUGUCAGCAGCUUUAAACCAUAAAGAAAGGAAAUAGUCCACAAGGGAAAUUUAAGAGUAUGGUGCCAAGACCGCACUAACGGCUGCUUGUGUACACAUGUGGUUCAAAGGGAUGGAUGUUUGCAGUAACUCCAAUAAAAUAAGCUGCGGUAAUUUGAGGGGAGGAAUUUUCCUUUCUGGUGAAGUUCAUCUGGCAGCUUACCCACAACUGGGCAAACACCGCAGUGUCUUCGGGGCCACGGUG
Long non-coding RNA from Chroicocephalus ridibundus (black-headed gull), 2355 nucleotides. RefSeq lists it as uncharacterized. The transcript has 3 exons. NCBI's taxonomy places the organism in Eukaryota, Metazoa, Chordata, Aves, Charadriiformes, Laridae. The record is from RefSeq and is a predicted model, not a curated record.